GGUUGACCUCGGAUCAGGUAGGGAUACCCGCUGAACUUAAGCAUAUCAAUAAGCGGAGGAAAAGAAACCAACCGGGAUUGCCCCAGUAACGGCGAGUGAAGCGGCAAGAGCUCAAAUUUGAAAUCUGGCCCCUCCGGGGUCCGAGUUGUAAUUUGCAGAGGAUGCUUCGGGUGCGGCCCCUGUCUAAGUGCCCUGGAACGGGCCGUCAGAGAGGGUGAGAAUCCCGU
Molecule: ribosomal RNA, 227 nt
Filed under: Aspergillus protuberus
Lineage: Eukaryota; Fungi; Ascomycota; Eurotiomycetes; Eurotiales; Aspergillaceae
Description: partial 28S ribosomal RNA
Rfam family: Eukaryotic large subunit ribosomal RNA
Source: RNAcentral